RNAcentral lists this ribosomal RNA (253 nucleotides) under uncultured bacterium. RNAcentral's name for it is "partial 16S ribosomal RNA". It matches the Rfam family "Bacterial small subunit ribosomal RNA", at positions 524 to 776 of the family's 1533-position model. The record is from RNAcentral.
UACAGAGGUCCCGAGCGUUGUUCGGAUUCAUUGGGCGUAAAGGGUGCGUAGGCGGCUUCCUAAGUUUGAUGUGAAAUCCUGGGGCUCAACCCUGGAACUGCAUCGAAUACUGGGAGGCUAGAGUACUGGAGAGGAAACUGGAAUUUACGGUGUAGCAGUGAAAUGCGUAGAGAUCGUAAGGAAGACCAGUGGCGAAGGCGAGUUUCUGGACAGUUACUGACGCUGAGGCACGAAGGCCAGGGGAGCAAACGGG